AGGGAUGUGCCUGAAUGGUUAAGGAACACACUGUAAAUGUGCGAGUAGUCUACUCAAAGUGGGUUCGAUUCCUACCAUCCCUA
This 83-nucleotide transfer RNA is filed under the name Synchytrium endobioticum. RNAcentral's name for it is "tRNA-Tyr". It matches the Rfam family "tRNA". Rfam says of the family: Transfer RNA (tRNA) molecules are approximately 80 nucleotides in length. Their secondary structure includes four short double-helical elements and three loops (D, anti-codon, and T loops). Further hydrogen bonds mediate the characteristic L-shaped molecular structure. tRNAs have two regions of fundamental functional importance: the anti-codon, which is responsible for specific mRNA codon recognition, and the 3' end, to which the tRNAs corresponding amino acid is attached (by aminoacyl-tRNA synthetases). tRNAs cope with the degeneracy of the genetic code in two manners: having more than one tRNA (with a specific anti-codon) for a particular amino acid; and 'wobble' base-pairing, i.e. permitting non-standard base-pairing at the 3rd anti-codon position. The record is from RNAcentral. Lineage: Eukaryota; Fungi; Chytridiomycota; Chytridiomycetes; Synchytriales; Synchytriaceae.